AUUGAACGCUGGCGGCAGGCCUAACACAUGCAAGUCGAGCGGAUGAAGGGAGCUUGCCCCUGGAUUCAGCGGCGGACGGGUGAGUAAUGCCUAGGAAUCUGCCUGGUAGUGGGGGAUAACGUCCGGAAACGGGCGCUAAUACCGCAUACGUUCUGAGGGAGAAAGAGGGGGAUCUUCGGACCUCACGCUAUCAGAUGAGCCUAGGUCGGAUUAGCUAGUUGGUGGGGUAAAGGCCUACCAAGGCGACGAUCCGUAACUGGUCUGAGAGGAUGAUCAGUCAAACUGGAACUGAGACACGGUCCAGACUCCUACGGGAGGCAGCAGUGGGGAAUAUUGGACAAUGGGCGAAAGCCUGAUCCAGCCAUGCCGCGUGUGUGAAGAAGGUCUUCGGAUUGUAAAGCACUUUAAGUUGGGAGGAAGGGCAGUAAGUUAAUACCUUGCUGUUUUGACGUUACCAACAGAAUAAGCACCGGCUAACUUCGUG
This 484-nucleotide ribosomal RNA is filed under the name uncultured bacterium. RNAcentral's name for it is "partial 16S ribosomal RNA". It matches the Rfam family "Bacterial small subunit ribosomal RNA", at positions 30 to 507 of the family's 1533-position model. The record is from RNAcentral.